GUUCCCCCCGUCCCCGCCCCGUUCCCCGGACUUCUGCCUGCCACCACUCUGGGACCUGUCUCUCUUACUACUCCUCUGCCUGGGCCCGGACUUAGGGCGGAGGAGACCUGGGCAAUGGCGAGGCUUCCAGCUCAGCGCAGCCCACCGACCACCCGCCGCAGUCCCCACGUCUCUGCUCGGGGACUGAGGCCGAGCUGUUCCCCACAGGCGUGUGUCACGCCUUUGGCAGCCCCGGCGCGUGGAGACAAAUCUACGCUCUGUCUGUUUGGGUGUCAGGAAAACAGGUCUUAGGCACCUCUUGUCCCGUCAAACAUCCCGGACAUUCAAAACCUAUGGUCAUCGCUUUGGCCCUGCUGCCUGUUAUGGCAACCACAUCCAUUCCAUCUGUCUUGGGUCCUGCAUUGUGUCUUCCCUUGCCCUUUGCCACCUGGAACCCCAUCCACUCCACAGAAAUCAGGCAGCUCCUACCAUCACGGGACAACUACUCCAAACACUUCUCAAGGCACAUUGCUCCUUGAAUAUACGCAUUGGAAUACAUGCCAUU
This 544-nucleotide long non-coding RNA is filed under the name Sus scrofa (pig). RNAcentral describes it as "lncRNA (ENSSSCG00035039637.1)". The record is from RNAcentral. Lineage: Eukaryota; Metazoa; Chordata; Mammalia; Artiodactyla; Suidae.